RNAcentral lists this ribosomal RNA (426 nucleotides) under uncultured bacterium. Its description in RNAcentral is "bacterial SSU rRNA". It matches the Rfam family "Bacterial small subunit ribosomal RNA", at positions 354 to 796 of the family's 1533-position model. The record is from RNAcentral.
GUGAGGAAUUUUCCGCAAUGGGCGAAAGCCUGACGGAGCAAUGCCGCGUGAAGGAUGAAGGCCUAUGGGUUGUAAACUUCUUUUCUCAGAAAAGAAUUAUGACGGUAUCUGAGGAAUAAGCAUCGGCUAACUCUGUGCCAGCAGCCGCGGUAAGACAGAGGAUGCAAGCGUUAUCCGGAAUGAUUGGGCGUAAAGCGUCUGUAGGUUGUUUAAAAAGUAUUCUGUCAAAGAUUAGGGCUUAACCCUAGAUAGGCAGAAUAAACUUUUAAGCUAGAGUUUGGUAGAGGCAGAAGGAAUUCCCGGUGGAGCGGUGAAAUGCGUAGAUAUCGGGAGGAACACCAAAGGCGAAGGCACUCUGCUGGGCCAAUACUAACACUGAGAGACGAAAGCGAGGGGAGCAAAUGGGAUUAGAAACCCCGGUAGUCC